GACGAACGCUGGCGGCGUGCCUAAUACAUGCAAGUCGAGCGAAUGGAUUAAGAGCUUGCUCUUAUGAAGUUAGCGGCGGACGGGUGAGUAACACGUGGGUAACCUGCCCAUAAGACUGGGAUAACUCCGGGAAACCGGGGCUAAUACCGGAUAACAUUUUGAACCGCAUGGUUCGAAAUUGAAAGGCGGCUUCGGCUGUCACUUAUGGAUGGACCCGCGUCGCAUUAGCUAGUUGGUGAGGUAACGGCUCACCAAGGCAACGAUGCGUAGCCGACCUGAGAGGGUGCUCGGCCACACUGGGACUGAGACACGGCCCAGACUCCUACGGGAGGCAGCAGGAGGGAAUCUUCCGCAAUGGACGAAAGUCUGACGGAGCAACGCCGCGUGAGUGAUGAAGGCUUUCGGGUCGUAAAACUCUGUUGUUAGGGAAGAACAAGUGCUAGUUGAAUAAGCUGGCACCUUGACGGUACCUAACCAGAAAGCCACGGCUAACUACGUGCCAGCCGCCGCCGUAA
This 515-nucleotide ribosomal RNA is filed under the name uncultured bacterium. RNAcentral's name for it is "partial 16S ribosomal RNA". It matches the Rfam family "Bacterial small subunit ribosomal RNA", at positions 28 to 523 of the family's 1533-position model. The record is from RNAcentral.